Molecule: transfer RNA, 72 nt
Filed under: Camelus bactrianus (Bactrian camel)
Lineage: Eukaryota; Metazoa; Chordata; Mammalia; Artiodactyla; Camelidae
Also listed under: 1 other name
Rfam family: tRNA
About the family: Transfer RNA (tRNA) molecules are approximately 80 nucleotides in length.
Source: Rfam by way of RNAcentral
GAGGGUAUAACUCAGUGGUAGAGUAUGUGCAUAGCAUGCAUGAGGUCCUGGGUUCAAUCCCCAGUAUCUCCA